This 741-nucleotide ribosomal RNA is filed under the name uncultured Gammaproteobacteria bacterium. RNAcentral's name for it is "bacterial SSU rRNA". It matches the Rfam family "Bacterial small subunit ribosomal RNA", at positions 602 to 1345 of the family's 1533-position model. The record is from RNAcentral. Lineage: Bacteria; Pseudomonadati; Pseudomonadota; Gammaproteobacteria.
CCUGGGCUCAACNUAGGAACUGCAUCCAAANCUAACUCACUUGAGUACGAUAGAGGGAGGUAGAAUUCAUAGUGUAGCGGUGGAAUGCGUAGAUAUUAUGAAGAAUACCGGUGGCGAAGGCGGCCUCCUGGAUCUGUACUGACACUGAGGUGCGAAAGCGUGGGUAGCGAACAGGAUUAGAUACCCUGGUAGUCCACGCCGUAAACGAUGACAACUAGCUGUUGGGAGACAAUGUCUUUCAGUGGCGCAGCUAACGCUUUAAGUUGUCCGCCUGGGGAGUACGGCCGCAAGGCUAAAACUCAAAUGAAUUGACGGGGACCCGCACAAGCGGUGGAGCAUGUGGUUUAAUUCGAUGCAACGCGAAAAACCUUACCUACUCUUGACAUACUUGGGAGCUCUUGUAAUGAGAGUGUGCCUUUUGGAACCAAGAUACAGGUGCUGCAUGGCUGUCGUCAGCUAGUGUCGUGAGAUGUUCCGUUAAGUCGGAUAACGAGCGCAACCCUUACCCUUAUUUGCCAGCGAUUCGGUCGGGAACUAUAAGGGGACUGCCGGUGAUAAACCGGAGGAAGGUGAGGACGACGUCAAGUCAUCAUGGCCCUUACGAGUAGGGCUACACACGCGCUACAAUGGGAAAUACAGACGGACGCUAAGCCGCGAGGUGGUGCUAAUCCUAGAAAAUUUCUCGUAGUCCGGAUUGGAGUCUGCAACUCGACUCCAUGAAGUCGGAAUCGCUAGUAUCGC